AUCGUCUUCUCUGUCGAAAAAGUGAAAUAGACCGAAACCGGCUAUCUUUAAAACCCGGAACGGGGAAUGGGGGGACGGGGAAUUGGAGAACGGGAAGUGGGGGAACGGGGAAUGGAGGGGCGAGGGGGGUGGGAGGUAAUAGGAGACAGGGGGCGGGGGAGGUCUGCCAGAUUCUAUAAACCACAUCUUUGUAGUUUGUACAACAUCUACUUUUAGGUAUUUUACCUAGAUAGUUAGAUACAUGACACAAACCAUAGGCUUCACAUAUUUCACGGCAUGGUUUGCUUUCAAAACCCUGUGACCAUGCACAAAACCUAACUCACUAACUGCAUCUACUUACAAUAGUACUAGGUGAUAAACUUACAAUCCUCACAUAGCCUCAAUCACAACAUGUGGCUAGGCAAAUAUACGAACUACACAGUUAACUUAUACCGUGACGACAUACGACAGUUCCGAGACCGAAAUACAGGACAACAGGGCCUUUUUUAAGGAUUUUCCCGUGGGGGGUAUUUUUUGAAAAGGGAUCUUAGAUAAUAUAUUAGAGGGGGAUAGCAAUGGCCGACGGCCACGGUGUGUGGCCGACAUACUCCCCCAGAAAAUGUUUUAAAUUUGAACCUUUCAAAUACCAUUUCCUGCUUUAUGAGCGUCUAAAUUUGCUCUAAGAUUUAUGCUAAUUUAUACUUGUAUUUGAAAUAAAAGAAGGAAAAACUGCAGAAAAAAUAAAAGAAAUAUUAAAGGUGAUCUACAGUCCGAUCUGCGCAUGUGCACAAAUGAGCCCACUUUUUAUGAUACAAACAGUUUAACUAUGUUUUGAGUUCUUGAAA
This is a non-coding RNA of Paramuricea clavata, 824 nucleotides long. NCBI's taxonomy places the organism in Eukaryota, Metazoa, Cnidaria, Anthozoa, Malacalcyonacea, Plexauridae. The record is from the annotation of a GenBank genome assembly.